This 85-nucleotide ribosomal RNA is filed under the name Fusarium oxysporum. RNAcentral describes it as "partial 28Sribosomal RNA". Lineage: Eukaryota; Fungi; Ascomycota; Sordariomycetes; Hypocreales; Nectriaceae. The record is from RNAcentral.
GGCCACGCCGUUAAACCCCAACUUCUGAAUGUUGACCUCGGAUCAGGUAGGAAUACCCGCUGAACUUAAGCAUAUCAAAGGCGGA